Molecule: small RNA, 625 nt
Filed under: Cryptococcus neoformans H99
Lineage: Eukaryota; Fungi; Basidiomycota; Tremellomycetes; Tremellales; Cryptococcaceae
Description: Cryptococcus neoformans var. grubii H99 hypothetical RNA
Source: RNAcentral
AUGGUUAAUACAGCCGUAAUGCAACACCACUCCAACUCUUUCGAUCGUCCAUCCAUCAUCAAAUUGAGAAUCUCUCCGCCUUGUCUCUCUUGUCCUAUCGGCACCGAUGCCGUCUGACACCCAGUUAUUAGCUUCCCGCAAGGACAUGUGAAAAUCGCAAACCGCAACUCAGCAGGGAUGUUUGAUGUGAUGAUCUGGGAGCGGGUCGCUAAGGACCGAAAGGCAGAGUGAGAGAUGUGGUUGAAUAAAGAGAUGAAUUUGGAGAUGAGUGAAUGUUCUGAGGGCAGGACGAGCAAAUUGAUGAGUAGACGAUAACGGGGGUGAACAUAUUGGCAACCAUAUAAAAAAGAAUUAGCGAGAGGACUGGCCCAAAGGAAAAUGUCUUCGGUCGUCUAUACCUUCCCGAAAACGACUGUCCCCGCCCAACAGCGUUAUCGAACUCAGUUUCUUCCAACAUCGCCAUCUAGUUUGAUUGCCUUCAUAAGUCUACCUCCUAAGUUACGUCAUGAUGCUCUCGAGCCAUAACAGCAAUGGGAUUAUAUACUGAAAGUUUGGAACAUUGCAUCUAACACUCCGUCAUCAAAGUAAUGGGAUACAGUGUCUCAUAUUUUUAUCUAUUGUCAUG